UUUUUUUUGUAACACAACAACACAGGUCUCACCCCGUACAUUUUGUACGUCGAUAACCAAGAGGAAACAGAUCGUUAUAAACGACAAGGUUCACUAGUCUUCAACGGUAGAGAAAUAGACGAACUGUCAUAUCAGUUCUUAUAACCUUUUCUAAUACAAUUUGUAAAAAGAAGUUCUAAUGGACUCCACAAGACGUUCCGGAUAUCUGUCCAACUAGGAGGACAAGUAUGAUCGUACUCUGUGGAAAAGCCUUGUACCUUUCCUCACAAAAGAGGCCGAAGUGACGUUUACUAACUCUUCCUUGAACCAAAAGUUAGUAGAUGAUUACCCAGUAGUCCACGACGUGGUAGCUUCCGGCUAAGAGGUAGGGUCGCGGGUAGGGUGUCGUAUGUACAUUUGGGUUUUAUAAACCUUCGUUCUGUCGUCGAGGUUGUUGGUUUAUUCCCCUAAGACCCUCGGCCACGGUUCUGUGGAUAUUAAAGACUACGACUACUACAAUAGCUUUCCCCAUUAUCCUAACCUUAACUAUUUCCGUGUCCCUCUGCUGACCUAUGAGACUUGAGAUCCGGAGCACGAGUCUUCCUAUGAAAAUCAUUGGGGUAAGUACUUUUCGGUCUGUCUCUACACUCCCCGGGACCUUAACGCCCUCGACCAGUUCAAGCGAGUUUCGGGUUUCCGGUUCUACCUUAACACCCAAGUAUAAUGUGACCUCCACAACCAAGGGGACUUCUUUAUAAACUGUCUGCGUUGGUAAACAUACGUAGAUUCCUACAAGCGAGAAGGCCGAGACAUGCAAACCUGUCACGUGAAGAGGGUUGAGGCCAGUCAUUAAGACUAUCCUAACCAUCUAACAGUAGUAGACUAUUUUCGACCUUCUUGAGACUCCUUCUUCUCAUGUAGACCCUGCUGUAUGCAAGAGUUCCUCGUCUAAUACCUCCACGGUCAAGACGUUCUUUUCCUCUUGGGAACCGACUACUACAGUUAUAAUCUUCGAAGGUAUCCCGAUUAACCCGUCUCGGACGUCUGGGCAACCUGGGACUGAAGGUGUUUGUUCUAUGGUAGGGUUCUAAACCUGUAGGUUGUUCGGUUCUGUCUUCUGAACGUGCCAUGUACCUAGUACGUCUCAUAGAAGUAUCAUUCGCACUCCCCCUGGGUUCUUAACUAUCCCUUUACACCGGACUUCCUGUUGUCAAGGGCCUUAGAGCACCGAGGAGACAUACCAAUAGGGUCCUUUUUGGAGCAGGUCUGUAACCCGCCCUAGGGUCCUAAAGUUCCAAAAGAUUAGUUAGUGGUUCGUAGUGAAGUAGACAUGGACAACCUAAUAGUCGCGGGAUACGACCUGCUAGUUCGGAACUUUCACGUUUUGUUUUUAUAACCGGUGGAAGGAGCGGUGGAGAGGUCCGUGCACUCUCGAGGGGUUCAAGGAGCCUCGUACUGUAAAUACGAAGGUCCGGUAAAGACGGUAACCCAGUUUUAGGGGUCCUUCUCGUAUUGGUUUCUCGAGUAUGGAACGGAGUUUUAAGACGCUUAAGAGUCCCAGCCGGAUCAGACGUUCGUCGAGACAGUGUCCGAAGAGUCGUCUGAGUUUUCGUGGGACGACACGUCAGUUUCGGUGUAGGCUUCGGUAAAGUAGUUGGGAAAAGUGUUCUUUUAAGGAGUAGCGAUAAAUCUGGCAGACAGGUAGACGGAGACAGAUGGCCUUACCUUCUCGUCAGACUUCUCCACAGGAACGGGUCACCAAGGCGUGUACGUUUCAGUCUAGUCUAUUCACGAUCAUUAAACAACCGGCCAGAAAAAUUCCCACCUAAGUAUGGUUUGUGUUCACUAGUGCGACAGGGUGUAAGUGUACCCAACCGUAGAGAAGGUAGAAGGAGACGGUCGCUUUUACGGGGAAGCUUCGGAGUACGUGGUUUGAGAGAGGCGGGUGGAAACGGCGGUCCAGGCGGUGGUUGUGUCUCACGACUCUUUCGACGACGUGGUGACAGUUCAGAAGAGUCAAGAGACCAACGUUUCCCGGAUUAAAGAAGUGGCAGGUGGCUAAGUAGACGACAACGUUCUUUCGGGUCAUUUAGUUCAGACUCGUGUAGUCUACAGUCACGAAGUCGAGGUGGAGGUGGUUAGCAGGUCGGAAGUCAACGAUUCCUCUGUGGACGGGGAUAUUUUCGAAACAACGGGUUUGGAGGACAUCAGCUCUACCGACUGGAUUAGCCGGAGCUCAAGUUCGGUCACCACGAAGCGCUCGUGGCAUGUCUCCACCAGUUGUCUGAGAAACUACUGGUUUCGGUAGCUACGUCUUCUACACCAAAUUCUAAGUCUGAACUUCUACUCGAGUCACGUGUGUGACGGACGUUACCUGGUCUCCUCCGAUCUUUAUGACCGUAGCGUGGACUUUCUACCAUGGGAUCGUUCUCGGCGACCUAACUGUCUAAUGGACUUGGCGUCUCGUAGAAGGACCUGAGACGUAGACUAAGUCUGGACCCUUGGCGUCUCCUUCGAACACUCAAAUACCAGGGACGUCUACUCUCGGUCUAAUAGACGACAGAAACACCCCUCGUCAAACUACUGUACAUAAGGUAGCUAUCCUCGCUCACCUACAUGUUCCUACGACGCAUAAUACUAGCGAGUUUCCGUCUUCCACCGUCGAGGGUUUCAUUUCUCGAGCGUGGGUAUCAGGUACGUUCUACAUACGGUCCUUAGAGUUUGCUACCGUACGUCCACCUAAUCAUACCCAACAGUACAGUAUAUCGUCGUCUUUGUCGUCGUCGUCGAGUCUACUACUGUAACUCCACCUAACAGUUUCUUCAGACCACGGGUCGUCUCGGAGUUUGCUACCGUACCUCCGUUUGUAAGGCACUCCAGCCACGUGUCGCUGCUAACUAUUAUAUGACGUCCACCCCACUACUGUCGAAGCCGUUGUAAAACCAGGGAACUAGAGGUGGUUAACAGUACAUCUUUUCCACAAGAAUGUCUUUCUUAUUUGUAUGGCUCGGUUAAUCAGCCGUAAAACUAGGGUCGCUCAGUUGUAAAACCCUCCCACCCCAGUCUACUGUAUUCAAACUAGAAAGACAACAAGUAUCCUCCGGUACAUACGAUCACUUUUCUCACAUAAUAAUAACAGGGAAUCGGUCCGCUCGCUUUGCCCACUCCGGUCGCAGCAGCAGCUCAAUGACGACAAAAACUGUUUGAAAAAGAGUCGAAAACUCUACAUCAUCGCCAAAAACAUGAAUUUUGGUUUGACUGUUAUCUUGAAGUAGUACCUACCUACGUAUAAACUUGAUGGUCACAACAAUCGAGAACGAACGAACAGACAGACAGUAACAUAGACGGUGACAAUAAGUCGGUACACGGUAAGAC
Molecule: ribosomal RNA, 3354 nt
Filed under: Triticum aestivum (bread wheat)
Lineage: Eukaryota; Viridiplantae; Streptophyta; Magnoliopsida; Poales; Poaceae
Description: partial small subunit ribosomal RNA
Source: RNAcentral